Molecule: non-coding RNA, 861 nt
Organism: Lolium perenne
Lineage: Eukaryota; Viridiplantae; Streptophyta; Magnoliopsida; Poales; Poaceae
Source: RefSeq, a predicted model, not a curated record
UGGACUGGUCCAGCCCCAAGAUCUGCCGAUCGCUGUCAGGUCGAUCCUCGUUCUUCAGCGAUGCUCCUGCGGGAGAUUCCGCCGCCGCCGCCGCUCUCAGUCCAUUGCGCAACUGCGGCGUCGCCGCCUCCUCACCCCCUCCAGACAACAUUAAGUUCUGAAGUAGACCUACCCUCGCCGUCCCCUUCCCCAGAGCAUUUGCUGGAUUCACAUAGGUGAUGGAGGCAAGGCUUUGCUAGAGGCAGAUGAAUGCCAAAAUAAGCUGUACUCUUUGGGAAGCUCAGGUCUGUACAUGAUACCGGAUUACCAUUGUUGUAUAUCCGUCUUUCAUAGUUGUUUUGCAAAGUGCUUGAAUUUUAGGGAACUCAAGAGUACAUAUUUAGUCCUCACUAGGUGGACUUAGAGCUUGCAAAGGCAGAAUCAGUCAAAGUUGGAUGAUGAAGAGCUUAGAAACAAGUUGUGACUUAAGGUUGCAAAGCUGGGGAACACUUAUAGCUAAGUUUGCUUCUGUGAAUCCCUUAUAGCUAAGUUCCAUUUAGUUGUGUAAGCAUAUGUCUGUCGUAUCCUUUCCAGAAGAGAAGUGCUUCCAUGAACAAUGAAACUUGUCCAUUAUAUUGAGGUUCCGUUGAGUUCUACAACCUGUGUUCAAAGGAAUGUUUUGGAGACCUUAUCUGUGCCCAAAAGAUCACCAUCCUGUUCACUAGUUGUUGACACUAUGAAGUACUCACAGUGAUUCAAUAUUGUUAUGUAAUUCACGAAUCUGAAUGUGUUGUGUUGUCGCAUUCUAGUGGUACGUAUAUCAGUAAAGAAUUGAAAGCUUCGAAUAUUCAUUUCAUUUCAAUACUCAUUUCAUUCCUGUUA